Molecule: microRNA precursor, 91 nt
Filed under: Canis lupus familiaris (dog)
Lineage: Eukaryota; Metazoa; Chordata; Mammalia; Carnivora; Canidae
Description: mir-8799 microRNA precursor family
Rfam family: mir-8799 microRNA precursor family
Source: Rfam by way of RNAcentral
AGGGGGAGGUCGGAUUCUGGGCUAUGUCCCCGAUGCCCUGUGCUCCCGGUCCUGCGCUGUUGGAUUCGCCCUCCCAGCCAGCCAGCCCCCC